Homo sapiens (human) is the source of this 1761-nucleotide long non-coding RNA. RefSeq lists it as uncharacterized. The transcript is spliced from 5 exons. NCBI's taxonomy places the organism in Eukaryota, Metazoa, Chordata, Mammalia, Primates, Hominidae. The record is from RefSeq and is a predicted model, not a curated record.
AGAUUGGGAGAGGAGUGGGAACAGGAGAAGCUGUCUUUGGCUCGGCUGGAAGGUGAAGGGAUUCCAGAUGCCGGUUCCUGGCUUGCUCCCCGCUCUCCAUUUGGCUUCAUCCUGGGGCUCUCUUCCUCCCCACAGAGGGGUGGUGGGCACUCUGUGCCACACCUCUCCUCUCUGGGAUCUCAGGUCUGUCCCUGAAACCUGCUGGUAGAAGAACCUCUAGAGUCCUUGCCUCCUUCCCACCGUGUGACCAUUGCCCAUUGGCACAUCUGUCAAGACACAGAUUUUUGGAAGAAAAAAGAAAGAGUGAAUGCUGCAGAGAUGGAUUGUUAAUUUUCCAAAUGAGAUAUGACUCUGAGAUCCCACCUACCCAGCUGGUAGGACGUUCCACCAUGCUCCCUAAGGUGGUUUGAGUGUUUGGAAUGACAAAGACUCUCUCAUCACCCUGAAACCUUAGUCCGGCGGCGCCUCUGAGUCUUCUGCUUGACGAGGCCUGACCUUGGGCUUCCCCAUGUCCUUUCAGAAUCCAGUUUGAGCAAGAAUCCUGCUAAGUCAGGCAUCUGUAGGCUUUGUUAAUCUAGGAGUCUGACCACCCACGUCCUCAGCUGGUCCUGUCCCUCCACAGCCCUCUUCUCCCAGCCCUUCAAUCAUCUCUCCGGACUAUAAGCUUAUUAAGAGCACGGGAGUAGUCAGCACAUCAAGUGUUUGGCACCGGGGUGAGGUGACUGACUACAGCUCUGGGAAGCUCCGCAGAACAAACACCAGAAUGAACGGUGUCUUCAUUCUCCAGUGAGAGGACUUUGCAUCCUGACUUUGUGUACUCUUUCAGGAGCAGACCACCAGAGACAGUCACACAAGGGGAGGGGAGAUGGCAUUGUGGGAGUGGCCCACUCCGUGAGCACAUGAAAUUUUAGAUCUCCACUUCCGUUUGGUAGCAUGUAAAACAGCAGACUCUUGGAAAGUCAUCUUUGGAGGGAACCCAAGAGGUCAUCAUAUCCAGAACUUCAUUUUACAAACAUGUAAACUGAGGCCAGAAAGAGAAAAUGACAGGAGCAAAUAGGUGAUGCUAAUAGGUGAUGGUGUUGGAUUCAAACCCAGGUGUUUUAUCCUGAUGCAAUAAGAAAUACGGAUUUGGUCUCUGUCCCUGGUUCCUGGCAUACAGCUCCUAAAACCCUUGUAAUCUCUGACAAAAGAAUGUCUUUUGGAUGCUAAGAGGAAACUGGUGGCUGGGAGCCCCUAGAUGGCUUCAGAAUGGGGGCUGGUCACCAGAAAGACCAUGGUAUGAUUAGAACCUCUUGAGAGGAGAGAGGGGCUGAAGGUUGCGUUGAUACCUUAUGGCCGAUGAUGUAAUCAAUCAGGCCUAUGUCAUAAAGCUUCCAUAAAAACCAAAGAAAACUUGGUUCAGGAGGCUCCAGACAGCUGAACCUGUGGAGGCGCCUGGAGGGUGGAUCUUCCGGAAAGCACAUGGCAGCUCCGCGCCCCUUCCCACAUGACUUGCCCUGUGCAUCUCUUCCAUCUGGCUGCUCAUCUGUAUCCUUUAUCAUAUCCUUUAAAAGAAACCGGUAAAUGUAAAGUUUCUACCAUUUCAAUUCUUUGUGGAACUCAAUCUGUUUUCUUAACUGAUGCAAAAAAGACCACUUAAAGAUCUGCCUGAAAGAACUUCUAGAUAGCGAGUGGAGUGCCAAGGCUCGGUCUUAGACCACCUCUGUUUCUACCAGUACUCACUCCCUAGAUGGAGUCUCGCUCUGUCGCCCAGGCUGGAGU